Molecule: ribosomal RNA, 293 nt
Filed under: Limonius infuscatus
Lineage: Eukaryota; Metazoa; Arthropoda; Insecta; Coleoptera; Elateridae
Description: partial large subunit ribosomal RNA
Source: RNAcentral
ACUGUCUCUAGAAAAUUUAUUAUUAAAAUUAACUUUUAAGUUAAAAGGCUUAAAUUUUACUUAAAGACGAGAAGACCCUAUAGAGUUUUAUACCUAUAAUUAUAAUGAGUACUUGGUUAUUUUAUUUUCUUGUAUGAUUAGGUAUUUGGUUGGGGUGACUUAAAGAUUAAAUAAACUCUUUAAAUUUAUAAUCAUUGAUUUGUGAAUUUAUAAUCUAAUUUUUUAAAGUUAAAAUAAAUUACCUUAGGGAUAACAGCGUAAUUUCUUUUUAGAGUUCUUAUUGAAAGAGAAGU